Molecule: long non-coding RNA, 1643 nt
Organism: Thalassophryne amazonica
Lineage: Eukaryota; Metazoa; Chordata; Actinopteri; Batrachoidiformes; Batrachoididae
Exons: 2
Source: RefSeq, a predicted model, not a curated record
UCAUGAGCUUAGAAUGAGACCUUCAUAUCUACAUGGGAACAGGCCGCCUGACGUUGGGCACCAUGUUGCACCACCAUGUUGAGAAAGUAGCCCAAAAAGUACAUACUUAUGCCAUCUUUUGCAUAUUGCAGCACAGCUGAAAGACUGAAGAGAAAAGAAGAGGACACGGUAGUUACUCACCUGUACAUCGUCUCCUGGUUGCUGGUCGUCGUGGCAAUCCCUUGGUGGUCAGGUAGAUUGUCCUCUUGGUUGCUUCCUGGAUGAGAUGGAUGAAUUCUACAUACAGGGUCAAUCCAGAGACAACUGGACAUGGGAAUUUUGUUGCACGCCCACAAACGUGACAGAUCCUUCGGCUGGUUUGAUGGCUGGGAAACCCAGAUGAUCAGCGUCUGUGGACCUGCUGCAUCCUUCAUCGUUCUUCACAGCCAUCAUCUCCUCUGCGCGAUCCACUGUUGAGGCCUUCUUGUUUCACCAGAGCCUCUUUAGUCAUCUCUUGUUCGGGGCUCAAGUUGGGCCUUCAUGGCUACUGCAGUGGCCACAGGCUACAAAAGGUCCCCACUCUAUUUCACCCCAAUAUGCAACCCCUUACCCAGGUGUCACGAUGCGAACGAGGCUGGAUUUUGAGAACCCUCAUUUUUGUGAAAUGGAGGAUCAUACAUAUUAUCGCAAAAGAAGCUAUAAUGCAACCUGUAACCUCACCACUAGAAGGCACUAAAUCCUACACGCUGUAGCUUUAAGGACCAUCCCAACAUUCAGCUUUGUAAUUGCACAUAACUGAAUGAAUGUAAAUGGCUGUGAUUGGCUCAUUGCACAUUCAAGUGUAGGAUAGACGUGCAAAUGUGAAAUCUUUUUGAUGACUUAAAGAGAUGGAAAAACAGGGCUGAAUCCACAUUGCUACAAGGUUCUCAUUGACUAACUUUAGCUUCACAGAAAAGUUGCACAUUAUGAAUAUAGUCAGUGAAUGCUUAUACUUUAUAACCGCUUGAAUCCAACAAAGUAUCCUUUAUCCUAAAUGUUAUUUAUUCUUCUAUGCUGUUUAUCUGCAUUCACGUAACCAUCCUGUUUUUUAAAUUUUUUUGUUACUUCUUUUUCUAUUUAAAAAUAGCCUAUAUAUUCAGGUUUUAAUCUUGGCGUGUGGAACCAGAUGAAACUCGUCCUGUUUCCACGCGGCCAAAUGGAGAAACAGAACAAUACCGUUUGACGUCCACACGAGUCCCUUUAUCGAAAUGAAGCAAAUAAAUGCCAGACAUCCAAACCACUGUAUGUGUAGAUUAGGAAUCAAAGGGCACAGACACGUACAUUCCUUAAUUUCUCAUUACGAGCAAUAACACACAUCACAAGUCAAAUCAUCUUUAUAUCCUCUAGCAGGUUUCAGGGAACUCCAAGGAAUGUGGUGGAAUUUUGUCAAUUUCGCCGUUGCAUGUCAGAGCCAUGAGGCAAAACAAAUUGCCUGUCAAGAAGAAAUACACUCUGUACUGUCAAACAAAAUUGUAAUUAGCAAUAAAACAUUACCCAGUGAACACAUCAUGCUUACUAACUGCAUUUCACAGCUGGGGUCACUUUGAAAGAAGUGCCUUUUAUGGAGACUUUUCUUCGUUGUUUUUAAUUUAAAAUGUUCUGAAUAAAAGUGUCAUCAAAGCCAA